UACGUAGGGGGCAAGCGUUGUCCGGAUUUAUUGGGCGUAAAGAGCGUGUAGGCGGCCAGACAGGUCCGUUGUGAAAACUCGAGGCUCAACCUCGAGACGUCGAUGGAAACCGUCGGGCUAGAGUCCGGAAGAGGAGAGUGGAAUUCCUGGUGUAGCGGUGAAAUGCGCAGAUAUCAGGAGGAACGCCCGUGGCGAAAGCGGCUCCCUGGGACGGUACUGACGCUGAGACGCGAAAGCGUGGGGAGCGAACAGG
This 253-nucleotide ribosomal RNA is filed under the name uncultured bacterium. RNAcentral describes it as "partial 16S ribosomal RNA". It matches the Rfam family "Bacterial small subunit ribosomal RNA", at positions 524 to 776 of the family's 1533-position model. The record is from RNAcentral.